This 202-nucleotide long non-coding RNA is filed under the name Elaeis guineensis (African oil palm). RNAcentral describes it as "long non-coding RNA (EGUI_LNC058953)". The record is from RNAcentral. Lineage: Eukaryota; Viridiplantae; Streptophyta; Magnoliopsida; Arecales; Arecaceae.
AACCGGCUUCUCUCUUUCUUUUCCCUGGGUCUCUAAAGUUAUUUAAUUUUUUUAUUUUUUUCUAUACUUUCUACUCAAUUUUUUUUCUCAUAAAGCUUAUUUUCGGACCUCCUAUUUAUAGAUAAAUUUUUCAUAAUUUUUUGGUAGAAAAAGAAAUCCUAAAACCCUUAGAAAUCAUAUUAAUCUCCUUAAAAAUAUUUUU